CCUACGGGAGGCAGCAGUAAGGAAUAUUGGUCAAUGGAGGCAACUCUGAACCAGCCAUGCCGCGUGCAGGAAGACAGCCCUAUGGGUCGUAAACUGCUUUUAUACGGGAAUAAACUUUGAUUCGUGAAUCAAGCUGAAUGUACCGUAAGAAUAAGGAUCGGCUAACUCCGUGCCAGCAGCCGCGGUAAUACGGAGGAUCCAAGCGUUAUCCGGAUUUAUUGGGUUUAAAGGGAGCGUAGGCGGCCUAUUAAGUCAGGGGUGAAAGACGGUGGCUCAACCAUCGCAGUGCCUUUGAUACUGAUGGGCUUGAAUAUAGUUGAGGUAGGCGGAAUGUGACAAGUAGCGGUGAAAUGCAUAGAUAUGUCACAGAACACCGAUUGCGAAGGCAGCUUACUAAGCUAUGAUUGACGCUGAGGCUCGAAAGCGUGGGGAUCAAACAGGAUUAGAUACCCUGGUAGUCCACGCCCUAAACGAUGAUAACUCGAUGUUGGCGAUAUACAGUCAGCGUCCAAGCGAAAGCGUUAAGUUAUCCACCUGGGGAGUUAGCCGCAAGGUGAACGUUAAUUGAAUUGACGGCGNGAGAGNGCGAGCGACGACGAGGAGGAGG
This 607-nucleotide ribosomal RNA is filed under the name uncultured bacterium. RNAcentral describes it as "bacterial SSU rRNA". It matches the Rfam family "Bacterial small subunit ribosomal RNA", at positions 338 to 944 of the family's 1533-position model. The record is from RNAcentral.